Molecule: ribosomal RNA, 568 nt
Filed under: uncultured bacterium
Lineage: Bacteria
Description: bacterial SSU rRNA
Rfam family: Bacterial small subunit ribosomal RNA
Source: RNAcentral
CCUACGGGAGGCAGCAGUGGGGAAUAUUGCACAAUGGGCGAAAGCCUGAUGCAGCAACGCCGCGUGAGGGACGACGGCCUUCGGGUUGUAAACCUCUUUUAGCAGGGAAGAAGCGAAAGUGACGGUACCUGCAGAAAAAGCACCGGCUAACUACGUGCCAGCAGCCGCGGUAAUACGUAGGGUGCAAGCGUUGUCCGGAAUUAUUGGGCGUAAAGAGCUCGUAGGCGGUUUGUCGCGUCUGCUGUGAAAAUCCGAGGCUCAACCUCGGACCUGCAGUGGGUACGGGCAAACUAGAGUGCGGUAGGGGAGAUUGGAAUUCCUGGUGUAGCGGUGGAAUGCGCAGAUAUCAGGAGGAACACCAAUGGCGAAGGCAGAUCUCUGGGCCGUAACUGACGCUGAGGAGCGAUAGCGUGGGGAGCGAACAGGAUUAGAUACCCUGGUAGUCCACGCCGUAAACGGUGGGAACUAGAUGUGGGGUCCGUUCCACGGAUUCCGUGUCGCAGCUAACGCAUUAAGUUCCCCGCCUGGGGAGUACGGCCGCAAGGCUAAAACUCAAAGGAAUUGACGG